GUGGUUGUAGCUCAGUGGUAGAGCGCUUACCUGGCAUGUGUGAGGCACUGAGUUCAAACCUCACCACCUUG
This 71-nucleotide transfer RNA is filed under the name Ictidomys tridecemlineatus (thirteen-lined ground squirrel). RNAcentral's name for it is "Spermophilus tridecemlineatus (thirteen-lined ground squirrel) tRNA". It matches the Rfam family "tRNA". From Rfam's summary of the family: Transfer RNA (tRNA) molecules are approximately 80 nucleotides in length. Their secondary structure includes four short double-helical elements and three loops (D, anti-codon, and T loops). The record is from Rfam by way of RNAcentral. Lineage: Eukaryota; Metazoa; Chordata; Mammalia; Rodentia; Sciuridae.